This 253-nucleotide ribosomal RNA is filed under the name uncultured bacterium. RNAcentral describes it as "partial 16S ribosomal RNA". It matches the Rfam family "Bacterial small subunit ribosomal RNA", at positions 524 to 776 of the family's 1533-position model. The record is from RNAcentral.
UACGAAGGGGGCUAGCGUUGUUCGGAUUUACUGGGCGUAAAGCGCGUGUAGGCGGACUGGUAAGUUGGGGGUGAAAUCCCGAGGCUCAACCUCGGAACUGCCUCCAAAACUGUCAGUCUGGACUCAAGUAGAGGCAAGUGGAAUUGCGAGUGUAGAGGUGAAAUUCGUAGAUAUUCGCAGGAACACCAGUGGCGAAGGCGACUUGCUGGACUUGUAGUGACGCUGAGACGCGAAAGCGUGGGGAGCAAACAGG